UUCAGCUUAUCUAUAAUAGUUUUAAAUUAAUUUACGUCACCGUCAUGGUAAUUAGUGUCAUCAUUGACUAAGUUGCUGUUAUUGUUUACAUGCAUCCAUGAAAAAGAUAGGUUAUUAUUUAUAUUCCACCACCUCUUCAACGUCACAUACGUUAGGUUGUCGAUGUUAAUUUCGAUAUUUCAUUUUAUUAUUAAAUUCUAAUUUAUUUCAGUUGGUUGUCCGUCAAAUUUCACUCUGGAGUAGGAUGGUAGUGUUACAAAAUGUGUCAAAUUUUGUGAUAAAGCUCAAAACUUCCUGAAUUCAAGAAAAACGUGUCAAAAGCAAGAAGUCAUUUGUUGAAAAUAGAGUCUGAAGCCGUAAAUAUACUUUAAGUAUAAGCUAUCCUACACCUGGUGUUACAAUUGGUUUGAUCCGGGCGAACUCGAGUCAUUUUAACUGGUUUGAUAGCACAGAGGUAGUCUAUAGGAAUUGGAAAGAAGGAGAACCCAACAGCAUCUCUGAAACGUUUGUUUUUAUAAGCUAUAAAUAUUACAAGUGGCAUAAGAAAUGAACAAUUCGUCUGUGAAAUUCAGCUUUAGCCAUUCACACGUCCAAGUUAUUAUUCCCGGACAUAUAUUGCGAGUGAUAUAGACACCGCCUUCGUUUGUUUGUCCGUCUGCCUUUUGUUUCAGUUUUUUGGACGAAGGGUUGAACCUUCUGGAGUUGUGCUUUUUGUUAUUUAGUCUUGAUGGGCAUUUAAGUGACGAAUGCAGACGCAGAUCACAAUUCUAUGGAAUAUAAUUACUGCUUAUUAUAGAGCGACGUUUAAUGGUCAUUUCUCCACAUUGAUUUAACGACAAAUCCUACUAGCACUAAUAUAAAAUACACGUAAUUUCAAAUAGCCUUUAAUGUAACUGCUUAUAGGUGAAACCCACAGAUUGCGUAAGUAGUUACAAUUGGUUACAUCCCAUGUUUGACAAAAAUCUUCUUGUGAAAUGACGCUUUAUCAAAUUUUGUUUGUAAUUUUGUGCAUUGUUGUCACUUUAUCGUCAAAAAAUAAUAUUUAUCAGCUGAGACUGUCAGGAAGAGUUGAUCCAGAUUUAGAUUUUUUUCCGGUAAAAUCACGCACUCAUUGUUCUAUGUUUUGUUCAACUGUGCAGUGUGCCUCAUUUUUAUACAAAAAUAACACCAAUGAAUGCGGCAUUGCAAAAACGUUUGCUGGGGAUAAAAGUCACUGGAUUAAUUCUACAGAUUGUACCUACUGGGAACCAUACGUUAAUUGUCCGUCCCAUUUUACCGUACUUUCUUGGGUCAACAUUACCAAGUGCAUCAAGUUCUACAAUUUGGCCUUAAACCUGACAAAUUCAAUUGAGACCUGUGGCCGUGAAAAAAGUCAUUUACUAAAAGUGGAUUCUGAAUAUGUAACUUUGAUGAUUAAUAAUUAUAUCGAUUCGCAUAUAAUUUCGGGAAUGGGUAUUCGAAUUGGCUUGUACAGAAUUGGUACAGAAUUCAAAUGGUUUGAUGACACUAACUUGAUUUAUACCAAUUGGAACCAUGGAGAACCAAAUACAAUGUGGGAAGAUACGGUGAUGAUAGGAAACAUCGAAGCGCACAACUACAAGUGGUAUGACGUAGGUUCUGCUCAAGCAAUGUCAUUUGUUUGCGAAACUUGAUGCCAAGCCGACUGCUUGAGUUCACACGUAGUACGUAGUGUAGGGGUUGUUGCAUUUGUUAAAAUAUACAAAUGAUGGGGUUAUUUUAGAUAAUUGACUUUUUGACUAUAGGCCAACAUAACCUCAACAAAAUGGAAACAUGGACUGGAUUUCGUCAGAACAACUAGUACGCUCAGCACCAGCAUUGAUGUCUGCACUUGCUCAACAUGAUGGUAAAAUAAUUCUGUUAACUUUGAGAUUAAGCAUGUCCCAAUGAACAAUCUCACCAAGAUUAUAUAAAUUCCGUUACGAAGAAUACUGUCUAAAUUUCGACAGGUCCUUUCCUUGAGUCCAAAUACAAAAUUUAGCCAUACACACUCUUUAAAAGUAAAAAAAAAAUAAGACAAGCAGAUAAAUUGGCAAAACGCGUUCGAAAUUUACACUGCAAAACAAAAAUUGGAUUAUCACUUAUAUUAUUCUAUUGAACAAUACCUAUGAUUAUCUAUGAUUAACGAUGGUCAUAGACAGCAGCUUAAACAAAUUUGAUAAAGGUUCUUAAUGUCGUUAUGAUCUCUAUACUAUGUUUACAUACUUGGAAUAAUCGGUUAAAAACUGUUGCCUCUAUUGCAUUCACGGAGUUUUCGGAAAAUAUGUGUUGACUCCGGUACAGAAGGUCGUGAAACACUGAUUAUCUGAUGCUUGACCUCGAUGCUUCACACCUAAUGAGGAGUGUGGGUGGGGUGGGGGUGCAUGGGGUCACGGAACACUGAAUAUCGAUAGGGUUUAUUCUCACAUGACUUCAAUGAUUCAAACCUGAUUUGAAACAAACCCAUGAAAAAAUGUAGCCCCCAUCGUGUGCACAAGGUUUUGCUUCACCCCUGAAAAAAUUUUAAAAAACCUACAUGUAUCGUAUUUGUCGCGUUCAGAGGUUUAGGGCAAUUGGCGGUAGCUCAAGAAUAUCGAUGAACACGAUGCUUAAUACCAAAUUUAAAAAAAAAAUCCAAUAAAAACAGUACAAUCUAUUGCGUUCACAAUGCCUAAAACUAGUUGGAAAGGUGAUUAUGUUGAUUUAAAUAAUGAUAAAACAUUACUUUCUAGUACAACACAACUCUAAAUAUAAGGGUAUGAGGUGCAGAGGAGAGGUCUAAAAUGUUUUUUGGGGACACAAGAGACGUGGGUCGAAUAUGGUCUUUUAAAAAAGGCGUUCUGCUAUAUUUGUCCCCCGCCUUUCGAAGAAAGCAGGGGACUAUUAAAAUGGGUUCGUCCGUCUGUCUGUCUGUCCGUCUGUCUGUCCGUCCGUCACACUUUUUGGGACACAAUAACUCUCUUCCUAAUUGAGCUAGAAUGUUCAAACUUGGUGUAUGUGUUGAUUAGGUCAAUGCCUUGAUGGAGUUCGAAGAUGAGCAUUUUCCGCUUAGGGUAAGCAGAGAUAAGCAAUUUGAUUGGUUGAUGCUUUGGGACACGAUAACUCUCUUCCUAAUUGGGCUAGAAUGUUCAAACUUGGUGUAUGUGUUGAUUAGGUCAAUGCCUUGAUGGAGUUCGAAGAUGAGCAUUUUCCGCUUAGGGUAAGCAGAGAUAAGCAAUUUGAUUGGUUGAUGCUUUGGGACACGAUAACUUUUAAUUGAGCUAGAAUGUUCAAACUUGGUGUAUGUGUUUAUUAGGUCAAUGCCUUGAUUAUUUUGAUUCUAUCUGAUAGAGAGUGAUGAAACUUAAUGUAUACUUAAUAAUCAGUUUGAUUGCUGGAUACUUUUGAAAAAGAUAAACAUGCAAUUAAUUAAUAUAUGUCAUCUAUUUAUUUCGGGAUUUCAGCGGGGGACAUCAGCCUCACUGUUGGCUUGUUUAAGUAUACGAUAAAUAAUGUCUUAUUGUCCGAUGAUAAAACUAUCAUUACUGGGUACAAAAGUUGAAAAAUUUAUGUUUUCUACGUCUUUCACAACCUUUCCUAGAAACUGAUUGCAUUAAAUCUUUUCUCAUCAAGGGAUUCACUUGAAUUACCGAAUUUCGUAAUUUCUUUUUGUAUUUAAAUGAUCCUGCAAAAAUUUGGUAUAACUAUCAGCUUUCCAUAAGGCAAAAUGUAAUUUCUUUAAAAAUAAAAAAAAUAAAAAAAAUCGAUGGGUUGCUUCCCAUUAACAUAUAGGCAUCGUGAAAACAAUUUCCAGAAACAUGUUACAAUUUCCAGUUAUCGCGCAUGUAAAACCUGCUAGUGUGGUUCAUUUUGGAAAAAAUCCACAGAUUAAAGAUAUAUUAUGGGAGAUUAGAUAAUAUAAAGGGAAUUUGCUUAAAAUUUCAGUUAAAUUGAUCCACCCUGAAACGAGAAUUUAGCGAUUGCAGGGCCGUAACUAGCU
Long non-coding RNA from Patella vulgata (common limpet), 3976 nucleotides. RefSeq lists it as uncharacterized. The record is from RefSeq and is a predicted model, not a curated record. The transcript has 4 exons. NCBI's taxonomy places the organism in Eukaryota, Metazoa, Mollusca, Gastropoda, Patellidae.